GUGGGGGGGAGCAGAGGCGGGGCUGGGGUGCCCCUCGGGCUCUCGAUUGGGGGACGAAAUUUCUCGUGACUUUAUUGCUCCUUUAUUUUCUCUCAUGUGGGGUGGGGGGGUCCGUUCAGCACGGUCGGGGUGAGGAAAUGGUGGGUCGUCUGAGCCACCCGGCCCCUCUGGGACCCAGAGCGCGGCGUCCGCUCCGCCAGCACGGGGUGUCGAGGUGUUUUUUUUUUUAAACUCUAAAAUGUGAACGUUUCCUUCAGCCCUCCCACCGAAACCGAGAACGAACGACGAAACAAAUAAAAACCCCAGAUCAUCCUCGUCAACGCAGGAAAACGACUUAAAAAAAAAAAAAAAAAAUUAAAAAAAAAAAAAAAAAAAAAAAAGGAAAAAA
Long non-coding RNA from Panthera uncia (snow leopard), 388 nucleotides. RefSeq lists it as uncharacterized. The record is from RefSeq and is a predicted model, not a curated record. The transcript has 2 exons. NCBI's taxonomy places the organism in Eukaryota, Metazoa, Chordata, Mammalia, Carnivora, Felidae.